This is a non-coding RNA of Cinara cedri, 217 nucleotides long. The record is from the annotation of a GenBank genome assembly. Lineage: Eukaryota; Metazoa; Arthropoda; Insecta; Hemiptera; Aphididae.
GCCAACCUCCGCGAAACUCGGCCGUUUUAUCAUGUCAACGUUUUCGACGCGCGCCAAACUGUCGUUGGCGAUUCGCGCGUAUUUAAAAUCCGUGAGUGAUCUUUUCCCCCAAUUAAUAACGCGGCAAUCACCUCGAUUGCUGUGCGCGCGCGUUCGUUACGAUAUUAUCGCAGGAGACGUUCGGGAGAUCGGACGGGACGCAACCGCGAGGACAGCG